AUAACAUGAGGACCGUCGGUCUACCGAGCAAUUUCACCCGCUCGGUGGAAGAUCUUCUCUUUAUUGU
Molecule: microRNA precursor, 67 nt
Filed under: Bombyx mori (domestic silkworm)
Lineage: Eukaryota; Metazoa; Arthropoda; Insecta; Lepidoptera; Bombycidae
Description: mir-2774 microRNA precursor family
Rfam family: mir-2774 microRNA precursor family
Source: Rfam by way of RNAcentral